Molecule: ribosomal RNA, 1178 nt
Filed under: Micrococcus luteus
Lineage: Bacteria; Bacillati; Actinomycetota; Actinomycetes; Micrococcales; Micrococcaceae
Description: bacterial SSU rRNA
Rfam family: Bacterial small subunit ribosomal RNA
Source: RNAcentral
GGUGUUGGAAAGAUUUAUCGGUUUUGGAUGGACUCGCGGCCUAUCAGCUUGUUGGUGAGGUAAUGGCUCACCAAGGCGACGACAGGUAGCCGGCCUGAGAGGGUGACCGGCCACACUGGGACUGAGACACGGCCCAGACUCCUACGGGAGGCAGCAGUGGGGAAUAUUGCACAAUGGGCGCAAGCCUGAUGCAGCGACGCCGCGUGAGGGAUGACGGCCUUCGGGUUGUAAACCUCUUUCAGUAGGGAAGAAGCGAAAGUGACGGUACCUGCAGAAGAAGCACCGGCUAACUACGUGCCAGCAGCCGCGGUAAUACGUAGGGUGCGAGCGUUAUCCGGAAUUAUUGGGCGUAAAGAGCUCGUAGGCGGUUUGUCGCGUCUGUCGUGAAAGUCCGGGGCUUAACCCCGGAUCUGCGGUGGGUACGGGCAGACUAGAGUGCAGUAGGGGAGACUGGAAUUCCUGGUGUAGCGGUGGAAUGCGCAGAUAUCAGGAGGAACACCGAUGGCGAAGGCAGGUCUCUGGGCUGUAACUGACGCUGACGAGCGAAAGCAUGGGGAGCGAACAGGAUUAGAUACCCUGGUAGUCCAUGCCGUAAACGUUGGGCACUAGGUGUGGGGACCAUUCCACGGUUUCCGCGCCGCAGCUAACGCAUUAAGUGCCCCGCCUGGGGAGUACGGCCGCAAGGCUAAAACUCAAAGGAAUUGACGGGGGCCCGCACAAGCGGCGGAGCAUGCGGAUUAAUUCGAUGCAACGCGAAGAACCUUACCAAGGCUUGACAUGUUCUCGAUCGCCGUAGAGAUACGGUUUCCCCUUUGGGGCGGGUUCACAGGUGGUGCAUGGUUGUCGUCAGCUCGUGUCGUGAGAUGUUGGGUUAAGUCCCGCAACGAGCGCAACCCUCGUUCCAUGUUGCCAGCACGUAGUGGUGGGGACUCAUGGGAGACUGCCGGGGUCAACUCGGAGGAAGGUGAGGACGACGUCAAAUCAUCAUGCCCCUUAUGUCUUGGGCUUCACGCAUGCUACAAUGGCCGGUACAAUGGGGUGCGAUACUGUGAGGUGGAGCUAAUCCCAAAAAGCCGGUCUCAGUGCGGAUUGGGGUCUGCAACUCGACCCCAUGAAGUCGGAGUCGCUAGUAAUCGCAGAUCAGCAACGCUGCGGUGAAUACGUUCCCGGGCCUUGUA